Molecule: small nucleolar RNA, 94 nt
Organism: Chelonoidis abingdonii (Abingdon island giant tortoise)
Lineage: Eukaryota; Metazoa; Chordata; Testudines; Testudinidae
Source: Ensembl
GACAUGUGAUGUGUUUUCUCACGAUGGUCUUCCAAGUCCCACAGGUGAAGGGGCUUUGACGACAGUUGCCGAGUGGCCUUGCUGAUGUCAGUUC